Molecule: long non-coding RNA, 3353 nt
Filed under: Panax ginseng (ginseng)
Lineage: Eukaryota; Viridiplantae; Streptophyta; Magnoliopsida; Apiales; Araliaceae
Description: long non-coding RNA (PGIN_LNC016739)
Source: RNAcentral
GAGAAGCUGCGCAAGCUGUGCCUGCUAGAAAAAAGGAGAGGUCUCUGUCUUCAUUUUUGAGCAAACCAAAUGUAUGUAGUACUACUAUCAUGACUAGAAGAAGAAGAAGAAGAAGAAGAAGAAAAGGCAUUGCAAGAAAGUUUCUUCCUUCUCAAGGAUCCACUGCUUACAUUGAGAAGCCGCGUAAAUCCAUGGAAGACGACCCUCCAGAGAGCUCAAACUUCUCCCGGACUCCUAGGAAGAUUGCACAACGUAAUAAGGAGGUGGGGAGUCUCUAUAUGCACUUCUUGUUUGUUCUUAUACUUGUUCAUAUAUAGCCAAAAAUCUUAACCUUAAUAGCUACUAUUCGUUUAGUAAAAGAGCAUAUAGUGACGGUGUAUACACAUGCGUUGUUAGGAUCAUAACACAUCAUUAAAAUAUAAGGAUUUCGUUAUUGAUGUGUCAUAAUCCUAACACUGCUCGUGUAUACAUUGACAUUGUAUGAAAAUUUAAUUCUUAGUAAAAAAAAAACCUCUAUAAUUGAACUGUUGUGAUGCUGCAGAUUUCUUCUGCUGUGGAGUCCUCUAAGCAACUAAUACCCACAAAAGGUGAAGAGAGAACUCGGAGAACUGUCAAGCCUUUGAAUUACCUAGAAGAAUCAGCAGACAUAACAAAGGCAAGGAAUGUGUGUAAAGGCAAAGGCAGUGACUCUGGAAAUAGGUCAAAAAUAUAUGAUGAUACUGACGAUGAUGAUGAUGAAAUUGAGUAUACUCCACCAUCAGCUCCGCCGGUAAGAGCCAGAAGGAAGACUCGUGGUCGACCAAGAAAAGUAGUUGCCUCUGCAGAACUGAAUGUUUCUGCACAAACUAUCAUUGAUUCAAAAAGCAGCCAACAUGAGGAAAGAAUCUGUCCAAUUUGGCUUGCAUUAGUUUCUUCCGAUAACCAGUGAGAUUUUUAUCCUACUAUAUAUAUUUUGGAUUAAUAAUUAAUGUUAUAGGUAGUUAAUUUAGUCCUAUUAUUAACUUGUUUGAUACUUAUGCUUGUUGGGGUUCAUGUUUGAAGGGAAGGAGAUGAGCCGCAAAAACCUCUAUGCUACUUGAUGAUUAAGUGAGUUCCUUGAUAACUAAACUAUAUAUGAGUUUUUGUACCAUGUUUCUUCGGUUUGCUUCAAAAUCCACAAUUGUACUUGCAAUUUGAAAUUUUUAUAUAUUAUGCUUGAUAUGAUUUUGCAUUUAUAUGGCCAUAAUAUAUAUAUAUAUAGAUACCUUACUAGAUUUUGUUCAUUUCUUAUUAUGUCUAACCUCAUAUAUGUAAGAUUCCUUGAUUUAGUAAAAAUUAAGCUAUUAUCUGUCCAAUUUAGACAGCAUUACCAAUAUACUUUCUUGCUUAAGAGUUGGAUAAACUUGAAAAACUCCAUUUUCCCCUACACUUGGUGCCUCCAUUUCAGAGGCUAAUAUGCAUCUCGUUGCUUUUCAACCAUUAGUAAUAAUCUUUUUUACAAGGUUUGCUCUUACCAUGUGAAGAUUUUUCUUUGUUUUUCAUAGCUUUGACUUUGACAUUCCAUUAUAUGAAUAUUACUUUUUUACGAUCGUGGAGUAACUUAAUAUAUAUAUAUAUACAUAUAUAUAUGGGGUUAAUGGAACUACACAGUCGUGUUAUGACGACAGUUUUUUUAGUCUAUAACGACGGUUGAUAGACCAGAAUAUAAAUUAGGCAAUUGUAUACUACACAACUGUGUAUAUACAUUUUUUCCAUAUAAAUAUAUACUCAUGACACAAAAAGUCCUAAUUCUGUGUAUGUUGAGAAGUUUAAAAAGUUGACUUCGUUGUCUUAAUUUCUACCAAAUGGCAUAUAUCUUUCAAUAUGAUUGACAUACACAUACUAUUCAUAUUAUUUUUCUUUCGUAGGAAUGUUAGUCUACCAGUAUCGUUCAUCAAAAAGUACCUUACGCGGAAACUUGAGCUUAAUAGUGAGGAUGAGGUAACUUAAUUUUCCCCCUAGCAGAAUAAGAGUUGCAGUGAGUUGUAUAAUUUUUUUUCUGAUUGAAUUACUACAAUUUACAACUUGUUUUAAUUAAUGUGUUAUAGGUGGAGAUUUGCUUGCGGGGUGAGCCUCUUCUUCCCAGCUUGCCGCUGAAUGCCUUAACUGAUUUGUGGUCACCGCCAUUGGGAAAAUUAUCAGCAACGGUGGGAGAUUCAGCCAAGGACUUUGUGAUGCUUCUUUCUUAUGCUCGAAAACCGCCGGCCUCUUAAAAAUUUAUUUACAAACCUACCCAGCUAGCUAGCUACCUAAUCUUAGACAAUUACUACUGUUUUCUGGGAAGCUAGAUAAUGAUAUAGAAAACUGUUGUUGUACUAUGUUUGUUGUUCUUCACAUGCAUGUGAAUGUGACUUGAAGUAAUGUGCUCAAGUUUACUAUUAGCCGCAAUAUUUACUGGAUUUUUGUUUGGUUUUAUUGUGUUUGCUCAAGUUUACAUUCUGCAGUUUGGUGUUGCCCUUUGUGCUGCUUAGAUCCUUUUGUAGCUGAGAUAUUCACAACACAAUAUAUCUCUUGCCAAAGUGAAAUAGCAGUAUUAGUAUAGCAUUGAUUCAAUUAGCCAUAAAUAGUCAUGUAUUUUGGUGGGGAACUGGGGAUUCAAACUAUAAUCUAUGAUUUGAGGGAUACAUGCUGCACAAACUAGAAAUACAAAAUGCAACAACAAGAAACCUUGAGAACAUAAUAUUACAAAAGAGAAGGGCAUAGAAGGAAAGCAGCAGAAACAAUUUAAGGCUAAGAAAACAUGUGAGGCCCCUACCCAAAUUAUUCUCAGAAAAGUUUGAUAAAGCUUGAAGCCCCUAUUUUCAAUUAGGGAGAUACAUGCAGCACAAGGACAAAUAUAGCCAGAAGAAACCUGCAAAAUUAGUACUCCCAAUUGCACAGAAGGGCGGCAGAAAUCUUACCAAAAGAUUCAAUAAUCUAGUCAGAUUUUAAAGUUCUUAAAUCUCCUCAAAAUUUUAGCCCGUGUUGCCAAUAUAUACCCACCAAAUCAAAAAAUGUACUAUAUAUUCAUAAACCCACAAAGCCCUGAUAGCACCAAUUAGAAAAUGCACAAACCCAUUUUGCAUCAUUUGACGAUCAUUAAGCUAAGUAUUACAAAAUCUGCUUUGAACCCAUAAAAGCAUACAAAGAAGACUAAUAUGGUAAAAAUAGUGAUGGGCUUGUAAUGAUACUAAGCUUCAAAAUGAAGAACUGAGUGUAAAGAGACGCAGAAUGAGGAAGAGUAAAAUAUGUGACGGAGAAUCACUCACAGUGUAUUGAUAGUAGAUUUUACCGCAAACGGAUUUCUUCUUCUCGGCUGACUUGUGAGCUUCCGUCUGCAAAAAUGUAUUUGAGAG